CACAACUUGAAACAUUAAGCUUGUGGGGUUGGCCGAAGCUCAACUAUCUGCCUGAACAAGUUCAAUGCUUCACUUGUCUAACUUCUUUAACAAUAAACUCCUUCGACGACAUGGAGGCUCUUCCAGAGUGGUUGGGAAAUCUUGCAUAUCUUAAGAUCCUAAGUAUAUGGAAUUGCAAGAAUCUGAUGUCUCUACCUACACUUGAAGCUAUGAAAUGUCUCACCAAAUUACAGUACAUAUAUAUUCAAAAUUGUCCUCUUCUGAGAGAGAGAUGCAAUAAAGACAGUGGUCCAGAAUGGCCCAAGAUUUCGCAUAUUCCAAACAUCUAUGUUCGUUGAGAGACAGGUGUUGAUCAUGGGGUGCAGAUUGAAGAAGCUGUGUUUCAGGAAAAUUAAUUUCAUUGUAAUUAUGAGGUUCUUUGGGAGAUUCAGUUUUAUGGAACAAUUUUUUUUUAUCAAGAAUCCGAUCAAGCAAACUUUCUAGGCUUUGUAAAAGUUUCUCUCCUGAUCAUUUGGGUGGCUUAAGAGUUCCCUGUUGAGAGAAAAGAGAUUAUGAUUAUCAAUUUCCGUGCAUUGUCGUCACCACCAAGGGACAGCCGGAUGUUGCAACCAGGCUGUUUUUGAGGAAGAUGAAGCUGGAAUUGAAACUGCCGGUGUUGGCCCUUGUGGACAGUGAUCCAUACGGGCUGAAAAUCUUAUCUGUUUAUGGUUGCGGGUCGAAGAACAUGUCGUAUGACAGUGCGAAUUUGACGACGCCGGAUAUAAAAUGGUUGGGGAUACGGCCCAGUGAUUUGGACAAGUACAAGAUACCUGAGCAGUGUAGGUUGACAAUGACUGAUCAGGAUAUUAAGACAGGGAAAGAAAUGCUGGAGGAAGAUUUUGUGAAGAAAAACCCGAAAUGGGUUGAGGAGCUGACUCUUAUGGUGAAAACCAAGCAAAAGGCAGAAAUUCAAGCUUUGAGCACAUUCAGCUUUCAAUAUCUCUCAGAGACUUAUUUGCCGCUAAAACUGCAGGAGCAGGAUUGUAUAUGAGCCAUGGCUUGAGUUUGGUGGAAGUUUUGUGAUGGUAAGUAAGUCAUGGAUUUACUCACAUUUGGCUAUGAAGUGCUGUAAUAUCUCUUCAAUUGUUCAAUUGUAAGGAAAAGGAAUGAAAUGAAUGAACAAAGAUUUCGCGA
This is a non-coding RNA of Prunus avium (sweet cherry), 1173 nucleotides long. Lineage: Eukaryota; Viridiplantae; Streptophyta; Magnoliopsida; Rosales; Rosaceae. The record is from RefSeq and is a predicted model, not a curated record.